CAGAUGUUUACCAAAACCUUCACAUCUUGGAGAUUUGAAUUGAUUUCAUGUCUUUACUAGGCUUUGCUUACUUCUAUUUUAUUUAUUGAUUAAUUUUUAUUGUUUAUUGGUACAUUUUAGGGAUACAGUACAGUUACAUUCGUCACUGGAUCUUGCACCUCUACAUGACAGGGAACAUUUCAUCAUUUGCAAAGAGGAAUCCAGC
Molecule: long non-coding RNA, 205 nt
Filed under: Fukomys damarensis (Damara mole-rat)
Lineage: Eukaryota; Metazoa; Chordata; Mammalia; Rodentia; Bathyergidae
Description: lncRNA (ENSFDAG00000024921.1)
Source: RNAcentral